UACGAAGGGGGCUAGCGUUGCUCGGAAUCACUGGGCGUAAAGCGCACGUAGGCGGACUCUUACGUCGGUGGUGAAAUCCUGGAGCUCAACUCCAGAACUGCCUUCGAUACUGAGAGUCUCGAGUCCGGGAGAGGUGAGUGGAACCGCGAGUGUAGAGGUGAAAUUCGUAGAUAUUCGCAAGAACACCAGUGGCGAAGGCGGCUCACUGGCCCGGUACUGACGCUGAGGUGCGAAAGCGUGGGGAGCAAACAGG
RNAcentral lists this ribosomal RNA (253 nucleotides) under uncultured bacterium. RNAcentral describes it as "partial 16S ribosomal RNA". It matches the Rfam family "Bacterial small subunit ribosomal RNA", at positions 524 to 776 of the family's 1533-position model. The record is from RNAcentral.